Molecule: ribosomal RNA, 497 nt
Filed under: uncultured bacterium
Lineage: Bacteria
Description: partial 16S ribosomal RNA
Rfam family: Bacterial small subunit ribosomal RNA
Source: RNAcentral
GACGAACGCUGGCGGCGUGCCUAAUACAUGCAAGUCGAGCGAAAAGAUGACGACCUUGCUCCUCUGACGUUAAACGCGGACGUGAGAGUAACAUGUGGUUACCUUACCUUUAAGACAGGGUCAACUACGGGAAACCGGAGCCAAAACCGGAUCAUAUCUUGAACCGGAGGGUUCAAAAGUGAAAGCCGGUUUUGCUGUACCUUAUAGAUGUAUCCGUGCGGCAUUAGCUGGUUGGUAAGGUAACGGCUUCCCAAGGCCACAAUGAGUAGCCGACCUGUGAGGGUGAACGGCCACACUGGGACUGAGACACGGUCCAGAGUCCUACGGGAGGCAGCGGUAGGGAAUGUUCGGCGAUGGGCGAAAGCCUGACGGAGCGACGCCGGGUGAGUGAUGAAAGUCUUCGGGUCGUAAGACUCUGUUAGUAGGGUAAAACAAUUGUGUAAGUAACUAUGCACGUCUUGACGGUACCUGAACAAAAAGCCACGGCUAACUACGUG